CAAGACGUGAGUAAGCAUUUGCACCAAUGCCACAAAGAUAUGUUGCCGCAACGCACAGCGGCGUCAGUACCAUAAGACAAAUAAAAUCUCCAGCAAUACCCUGAGGUCCAUAAGCGUUCCUGCUACUCCACCACUGAUAAAAUCUCACAGCGAUUCUUAUUCGAAGUAGACAGCCAUUUCUCUAAGCAUCCAGUAUGGACCAGUGCCAAGGUACCAGAACACUUACAAGGAUCCACUAAUUCUUCCGAAGAUCCAUCUGCAGAUCCAAGAUGUACCAUUCGGCAUACAGUGAUCUAUUUUAUCAUAUCGUUUGUGACAAGUAGACAGGAGUAUGCAGUAUCAUAAACCCAAAGAAUAUUAAUUAUAAUAAAAAUUCUUAGACAACUA
Cephus cinctus (wheat stem sawfly) is the source of this 387-nucleotide long non-coding RNA. RefSeq lists it as uncharacterized. NCBI's taxonomy places the organism in Eukaryota, Metazoa, Arthropoda, Insecta, Hymenoptera, Cephidae. The transcript is spliced from 2 exons. The record is from RefSeq and is a predicted model, not a curated record.